UUAAGUUCAGCGGGUAUCCCUACCUGAUCCGAGGUCAACCUUAGAAAGAUUUUUUCCCACCGCCCCCGGGAGGGAGGGGGGAAAAGGAGACCGUGUCCCGAGAACCCUCAUUCCGAUACGUGCUCAGUUAAGAAGCUCAGUGUACCGGGGGUCCUGCGAGGCCGCCGUCAUUGUCUUUAGGAGGGGUCAGUCGCCUAACC
RNAcentral lists this unclassified non-coding RNA (200 nucleotides) under Chaetothyriales sp. RNAcentral describes it as "partial internal transcribed spacer 2". The record is from RNAcentral. Lineage: Eukaryota; Fungi; Ascomycota; Eurotiomycetes; Chaetothyriales.